Molecule: ribosomal RNA, 253 nt
Filed under: uncultured bacterium
Lineage: Bacteria
Description: partial 16S ribosomal RNA
Rfam family: Bacterial small subunit ribosomal RNA
Source: RNAcentral
UACGAAGGGGGCUAGCGUUGCUCGGAAUUACUGGGCGUAAAGCGCACGUAGGCGGAUUGUUAAGUCGGGGGUGAAAUCCUGGAGCUCAACUCCAGAACUGCCUUCGAUACUGGCGAUCUAGAGUCCGGGAGAGGUGAGUGGAACUGCGAGUGUAGAGGUGAAAUUCGUAGAUAUUCGCAAGAACACCAGUGGCGAAGGCGGCUCACUGGCCCGGUACCGACGCUGAGGUGCGAAAGCGUGGGGAGCAAACAGG